AACGAACGCUGGCGGCAUGCCUAACACAUGCAAGUCGAACGAGACCUUCGGGUCUAGUGGCGCACGGGUGCGUAACGCGUGGGAACCUGCCUUUAGGUUCGGAAUAACUCAGAGAAAUUUGAGCUAAUACCGGAUAAUGUCUUCGGACCAAAGAUUUAUCGCCUUUAGAUGGGCCCGCGUUGGAUUAGCUAGUUGGUGGGUAAAGGCCUACCAAGGCGACGAUCCAUAGCUGGUCUGAGAGGAUGAUCAGCCACACUGGGACUGAGACACGGCCCAGACUCCUACGGGAGGCAGCAGUGGGGAAUAUUGGACAAUGGGCGAAAGCCUGAUCCAGCAAUGCCGCGUGAGUGAUGAAGG
RNAcentral lists this ribosomal RNA (357 nucleotides) under uncultured bacterium. Its description in RNAcentral is "bacterial SSU rRNA". It matches the Rfam family "Bacterial small subunit ribosomal RNA", at positions 29 to 414 of the family's 1533-position model. The record is from RNAcentral.